UACGGGGGAUGCAAGCGUUAUCCGGAUUUAUUGGGUUUAAAGGGUGCGUAGGCUGUGAGGUAAGUCAGCGGUGAAAUGCCCCCGCUCGACGGGGUGAAGUGCCAUUGAUACUGCCUUGCUGGAAUGCGGAUGCCGUGGGAGGAAUGUGUGGUGUAGCGGUGAAAUGCAUAGAUAUCACACAGAACACCGAUCGCGAAGGCAUCUCACGAAUCCGCUAUUGACGCUGAUGCACGAAAGCGUGGGUAUCAAACAGG
Molecule: ribosomal RNA, 254 nt
Filed under: uncultured bacterium
Lineage: Bacteria
Description: partial 16S ribosomal RNA
Rfam family: Bacterial small subunit ribosomal RNA
Source: RNAcentral